Lathyrus oleraceus (garden pea) is the source of this 600-nucleotide long non-coding RNA. RefSeq lists it as uncharacterized. Lineage: Eukaryota; Viridiplantae; Streptophyta; Magnoliopsida; Fabales; Fabaceae. The transcript is spliced from 2 exons. The record is from RefSeq and is a predicted model, not a curated record.
UAAUCUAAUUAACCUAAGAUCUAAUUACUAACUAAUUAACAAAAAAGCAACAAAAAAACUGGAUCCAAGAACUGGAAAAUCUAUUCUGCAAAAUAAUCGCUUACGUAUUCUUCACUUCCUCCUUCAAAUCGAAAGCCUAUUGCUUUGCGAAUUCAAUUAUUGCAGGGUUAAUAGUGAUGCAAGGUGGAAAAUAUUCAGGUUGGAGAAACUGAAAUUUCAGGUUGAAGACUGAAUUCUCAGGUUGCAGAAUAGAAAACUCGAUUUGCAGAAAGGAAAUCUCAAGUUGAAGAAUCAAAAGCUCAAAAUGCAUAACCUAAAAAGCCAAGUUGCAGAAUAAAAGUUCUCGUGUGCAAAGGAAAGUGGCAUGGAAGAACAUUGGCAUGAGGAUGAGAGAUGAAGAAAUUAGAAGUAGGCUUAAGUCUUACAUGGUUGAUCUUGGUCAAAGUACCACUUUUUUCUAUAAUUGUAUUUGUAUGUAUUUGUAAAUGGAAUUGAAUCAUAACUUAAAUGGAAAUAUUGUAAGUCAAGAUGUAAUUUGAAUGAAUAUUGUAAUGAAUUUGAAUUUGAAAGUUGAAAUAAAAAACAAAUUUGCAUUGAAAA